RNAcentral lists this ribosomal RNA (254 nucleotides) under uncultured bacterium. RNAcentral describes it as "partial 16S ribosomal RNA". It matches the Rfam family "Bacterial small subunit ribosomal RNA", at positions 524 to 776 of the family's 1533-position model. The record is from RNAcentral.
UACGUAGGGACCAAGCGUUGUUCGGAUUUACUGGGCGUAAAGGGCGCGUAGGCGGCGUGACAAGUCACUUGUGAAAUCUCCGGGCUUAACUCGGAACGGCCAAGUGAUACUGUCGUGCUAGAGUGCAGAAGGGGCAAUCGGAAUUCUUGGUGUAGCGGUGAAAUGCGUAGAUAUCAAGAGGAACACCUGAGGUGAAGACGGGUUGCUGGGCUGACACUGACGCUGGAGGCGCGAAAGCUAGGGGAGCGAAUGGG